UUAGAAGCAGUCAUCCUUUAAAGAAAGCGUAAUAGCUCACUGAUCGAGUCGUUCUGCGCGGAAGAUGUAAUGGGGCUAAGCCAUAUACCGAAGCUGCGGAUGCAUAUUUUUAUAUGCAUGGUAGGAGAGCGUUCCGUAAGCCAGCGAAGGUGCACUGGAAAGUGUGCUGGAGGUAUCGGAAGUGCGAAUGCUGACAUGAGUAGCGAUAAAGGGGGUGAAAGGCCCCCUCGCCGUAAGCCCAAGGUUUCCUACGCAACGUUCAUCGGCGUAGGGUGAGUCGGCCCCUAAGGCGAGGCAGAAAUGCGUAGCUGAUGGGAAGCAGGUUAAUAUUCCUGCACCAUUGUUAAAUGCGAUGGGGGGACGGGUCGCGGAAGGUUGUCCGGGUGUUGGAAGUCCCGGUCCUUGCAUUGGAGAAGGCGCUUUGGCAAAUCCGGGCGCGGAAUUCAAGGGUGUGAGACCAGUCACUCAGGUGACGAAGCAACUGGAAGUGGUUCCAAGAAAAGCCUCUAAGCUUCAGUUUAACAAGACCGUACCGCAAACCGACACAGGUGGGCGAGAUGAGUAUUCUAAGGCGCUUGAGAGAACUCGGGAGAAGGAACUUGGCAAAUUGGUACCGUAACUUCGGGAUAAGGUACGCCCCUGUAGCUUGACUGGCCUGCGCCAGAAGGGUGAAGGGGUUGCAAUAAACUGGUGGCUGCGACUGUUUAAUAAAAACACAGCACUCUGCAAACACGAAAGUGGACGUAUAGGGUGUGACGCCUGCCCGGUGCCGGAAGAUUAAAUGAUGGGGUGCAAGCUCUUGAUUGAAGUCCCGGUAAACGGCGGCCGUAACUAUAACGGUCCUAAGGUAGCGAAAUUCCUUGUCGGGUAAGUUCCGACCUGCACGAAUGGCGUAACGAUGGCCACACUGUCUCCUCCCGAGACUCAGCGAAGUUGAAGUGUUUGUGAUGAUGCAAUCUCCCCGCGGCUAGACGGAAAGACCCCAUGAACCUUUACUGUAGCUUUGCAUUGGACUUUGAACCGGUCUGUGUAGGAUAGGUGGGAGGCUUUGAAGCGUGGACGCCAGUCUGCGUGGAGCCAUCCUUGAAAUACCACCCUGGUUUGUUUGAGGUUCUAACCUUGGUCCGUAAUCCGGAUCGGGGACAGUGCAUGGUAGGCAGUUUGACUGGGGCGGUCUCCUCCCAAAAUGUAACGGAGGAGUACGAAGGUACGCUAGGUACGGUCGGAAAUCGUGCUGAUAGUGCAAUGGCAUAAGCGUGCUUAACUGCGAGACCGACAAGUCGAGCAGGUGCGAAAGCAGGUCAUAGUGAUCCGGUGGUUCUGUAUGGAAGGGCCAUCGCUCAACGGAUAAAAGGUACUCUGGGGAUAACAGGCUGAUACCGCCCAAGAGUUCAUAUCGACGGCGGUGUUUGGCACCUCGAUGUCGGCUCAUCUCAUCCUGGGGCUGUAGCCGGUCCCAAGGGUAUGGCUGUUCGCCAUUUAAAGAGGUACGUGAGCUGGGUUUAAAACGUCGUGAGACAGUUUGGUCCCUAUCUGCCGUGGGCGCUGGAUAUUUGAAGGGGGCUGCUCCUAGUACGAGAGGACCGGAGUGGACGAACCUCUGGUGUACCGGUUGUCACGCCAGUGGCAUCGCCGGGUAGCUAUGUUCGGAAGAGAUAACCGCUGAAAGCAUCUAAGCGGGAAACUCGCCUUAAGAUGAGAUAUCCCCGGGCUUCGAGCCCCUUGAAGGGUCGUUCAAGACCAGGACGUUGAUAGGUCAGGUGUGGAAGCGCAGUAAUGCGUUAAGCUAACUGAUACUAAUUGCCCGUAAGGCUUGAUCCUAU
RNAcentral lists this ribosomal RNA (1823 nucleotides) under uncultured Paraburkholderia sp. RNAcentral's name for it is "LSU rRNA # 23S rRNA, large subunit ribosomal RNA - 5 prime missing fragment". It matches the Rfam family "Bacterial large subunit ribosomal RNA", at positions 1106 to 2925 of the family's 2925-position model. Lineage: Bacteria; Pseudomonadati; Pseudomonadota; Betaproteobacteria; Burkholderiales; Burkholderiaceae. The record is from RNAcentral.